RNAcentral lists this ribosomal RNA (253 nucleotides) under uncultured bacterium. RNAcentral's name for it is "partial 16S ribosomal RNA". It matches the Rfam family "Bacterial small subunit ribosomal RNA", at positions 524 to 776 of the family's 1533-position model. The record is from RNAcentral.
UACGUAGGGACCAAGCGUUGUUCGGAUUUACUGGGCGUAAAGGGCGCGUAGGCGGCUUGACAAGUCACUUGUGAAAUCUCCGGGCUUAACUCGGAACGGCCAAGUGAAACUGUCAUGCUAGAGUGCAGAAGGGGCAAUCGGAAUUCUUGGUGUAGCGGUGAAAUGCGUAGAUAUCAAGAGGAACACCUGAGGUGAAGACGGGUGGCUGGGCUGACACUGACGCUGAGGAGCGAAAGCGUGGGGAGCGAACAGG